This is a long non-coding RNA of Oreochromis aureus, 797 nucleotides long. The record is from Ensembl. Lineage: Eukaryota; Metazoa; Chordata; Actinopteri; Cichliformes; Cichlidae.
CAUGGAUUAAGAAAUGGCUGACAACAUUUGAGGAUAUGGAGAUGUACUGCACAUAGACCUUUUGGACUACGCCAAGCAAUUAAUCUGCGAGAGGAAGAGUCUUCACUGGUACCAAACCAGGAAUUCAGAGACAUGUGCCAGCACUUCGCUCUCGCUCUGCAGGCCUACUUGUUGUUCCUAGAGUAUUUAAAAGUAGAAUGGGAGGGAGAGCCUUCAGUUUUCAGGCCCCUCUUCUGUGGAACCAGCUUCCAGUUUGGAUUCGGGAGACAGACACUAUCUCUACUUUCAAGAUUAGGCUUAAAACUUUCCUUUUUGCUAAAGCAUAUAGUUAGGGCUGGACCAGGUGACCCUGAAUCCUCCCUUAGUUAUGCUGCAAUAGACGUAGGCUGCCGGGGAUUCCCAUGAUGCAUUGAGUUUUUCCUUUCCAGCCACUCACUAUGUGUUAAUAGACCUCUCUGCAUCGAAUCAUAUCUGUUAUUAAUUUCUGUCUCUCUUCCACAGCAUGUCUUUCAUCCUGUUUUCCUUCUUCACCCCAACCGGUCGCAGCAGAUGGCCGCCCCUCCCUGAGCCUGGUUCUGCCGGAGGUUUCUUCCUGUUAAAAGGGAGUUUUUCCUUCCCACUGUCGCCAAAGUGCUUGCUCAUAGGGGGUCAUAUGAUAUGAUUGUUGGGGUUUUCUCUGUAUUUAUUAUUGUGCGAUCUAUUGUACAAUAUAAAGCGCCUUGAGGCGACUUUUGUUGUGAUUUGGCGCUAUAUAAAUAAAAUUGAAUUGAAUUGAAUUGAAUUGAACAUUUUAGAAA